RNAcentral lists this ribosomal RNA (253 nucleotides) under uncultured bacterium. Its description in RNAcentral is "partial 16S ribosomal RNA". It matches the Rfam family "Bacterial small subunit ribosomal RNA", at positions 524 to 776 of the family's 1533-position model. The record is from RNAcentral.
UACGAAGGGGGCUAGCGUUGUUCGGAAUUACUGGGCGUAAAGCGCGCGCAGGCGGCUAUCCAAGUCAGUGGUGAAAGCCCGGAGCUCAACUCCGGAACUGCCAUUGAAACUGUUUAGCUUGAGGACGAGAGAGGUGAGUGGAAUUCCCAGUGUAGAGGUGAAAUUCGUAGAUAUUGGGAGGAACACCGGUGGCGAAGGCGGCUCACUGGCUCGUAUCUGACGCUCAGGCGCGACAGCGUGGGGAUCAAACAGG